Long non-coding RNA from Lolium rigidum, 1851 nucleotides. RefSeq lists it as uncharacterized. Lineage: Eukaryota; Viridiplantae; Streptophyta; Magnoliopsida; Poales; Poaceae. The record is from RefSeq and is a predicted model, not a curated record. The transcript is spliced from 3 exons.
CCAUGGGCCUGCUCUUCUUUUGUUGCUCACCCUCUUAUCUCUUUUAUCGUCUCUUGAUGGCCGCUGCUGAUUUAUGCUCGAGUGGAAGUACAUGUGCUACCUCCUCCAGGCUGCUAAUGCCUCCUAGCUUCCGCCAGACCGCCCCAAGUAGAUGCAAAUGGGAAAAUUGUUCAGAGAGUUGGUGCAGUAGAGCCUUAAAUUCAAUGAAUCGAUCUCUACAAAAGUGCUAGAGACCAACUUGCACCAAGAGCAUGGGAGAUGGUUGCUGCACAGCUUGAUAAUACAUAUGGAGAUUGGUUGAGAUACAAUAUCUUCCAGACACACGGGUGAGAACAUUCCCGGUGAGAUUCAUACAAGCGAGUGACAUCAGGGUCAUGUUGAUGCUACAAUGGACAAGAGUAAUAUAUUUAAUGUGCUGGCACAACAAUGGCUCUGGUUGAUUGCCAUAUACUGUUAAGACAUUUCUCCAUGCCUGAUGCUUAGUCUUUGAACUAUCAUUUAAAAUUCGAAGGUGCAUCUAUUAAGUGUUGUUACUUGACUAUUUGAAAAACUGAAACAUAAUGAGUAAUCAAGGUCAAUGAAUUUCUGCAAUGCUUUUAGAGAUACUGUCGAAUGCUCACAUCAGGCAGGAUAGGCUUAGGCCAAAUAGACAGCCUAUUGUGUACAUACAGUUGUCUGAUAAUUUCCUAAGAAGCUAAUAAUCAGGUUUUUGUGCGUCGAAUGACUGUAACGGUUACGUUACUGUUACUGCAUAGAUAGACAAAUAUUAGAUGUGAUUUAAUGCUUCAUAGAUAGUCACAUCAAAUCCAUGCUUAUAGAGACGCCUGCUAUGCGCUGUGCACACUUCUUCUUUCUCUAAUUUUUGGGUCGAUUAGUAGUUUCUGUGAAGAUUUUGUUUACCGCACCGCUUUACCAGAUUCUCUUUCCGCUUCACCAUAGACCUUUCAUUUAUAUUCUUUUUUACUUUGCUCUGCUCUUCCUGGAGUCUACUAUUUUCAGCAACCAAUGCAUAGAUUCACCACAUUACAUGUACAUGGAUAGUCAUUGGAUUAUUGUCUUACUUAACUAAGGUGAUUUUCCUAUUUUUUCCUGAUUUAGUUAUCUGAUUAUUUCAUUUUACUUCUAGAUACAUCUAAAAUCUUCUGACCAUCGGAGUCCUGACUUGAAUCUAAGAAGCCUUCUUCCUCAGUGGGCUAUCUCUAGGAUUACCUGUGAGUAGAGUACUUGGGUCUUUUGUAUACAGGUAGCCACCACCGUUUAUCCUGCACUGACUGAUGGAUCAAGUUAGGCAUGCAUGAGAUAAGGUUGUUAUCGCUUUUUUUGGGGGCAUGCAACAUGGAAGGAGCACUGAAAAUUGAUUCUAAUAAAGGUGAUGUAUCCUGCUGCUUAGGGAAGGCCAAGCCUGUUGAUUUUUUCCUUCCAUAUAUCAGCUAGGCUAAUGAAUUUUGUGAUAAGGCAAAGUUGUGUUAAACUGAUCUUUGUACUCCCCUUGGGUGUUGGUCAUCAUAUUAGCUAUUUGGAAACUGAUCAGUGUGUACGUUAUUUUUAUAUUGAAAUAUUUGUACAUCUCACUAGCGUACUUUGUCUUCAAAUCUUCAUUCUUCAAUUCUUGGCUACCUUGAGGGCACGGCGUGCCGCUGCGCCAAUCCUUGCUUCAUGACCAUAUAAUGUUUCGAGAUGUUCCACUCUCUUCAUGACUGUUGUUCUUGGGGACUUUUGAUGCUUUGAGAUCUUCUACUCUACAAGUUUAGAAUUCUCAUGAUCCAGAAGCAUAUGAGUAUAAUUUUACAUUGUAUCUUGGCUUGGCAUUUUGAGAACAGAAUAUUUACUACAACAUUUUCUCACAGAAAA